RNAcentral lists this unclassified non-coding RNA (398 nucleotides) under uncultured Planctomycetia bacterium. RNAcentral's name for it is "contains 16S-23S intergenic spacer region". Lineage: Bacteria; Pseudomonadati; Planctomycetota; Planctomycetia. The record is from RNAcentral.
UCCGGUUUGACACCGGCAGUCUCUUCAGAGUCCCCGACUUUACUCGCUGGCAACUGAAGACAGGGGUUGCGCUCGUUAUGGGACUUAACCCGACAUCUCACGACACGAGCUGACGACAGCCAUGCAGCACCUGUGUGUAGCUCAGGGUUGGAUACCUGUCGGGUGCCGUUUCCGGUCCCUACGUCUACACCCUUGCGGACAUGUCAAGCCCAGGAUAAGGUUCUUCGCGUAGCCUCGAAUUAAGCCACAUGCUCCACCGCUUGUGUGAGCCCCCGUCAAUUCCUUCGAGCUUCAGCCUUGCGACCAUACUCCCCAGGCGGGGUACUUAACACUUUUGCUCCGGCAGCGACCCCAUGACAGGCCGCUACCUAGUACCCAACGUUUAGGGCCAGGACUAC